This 61-nucleotide non-coding RNA is filed under the name Deltaproteobacteria bacterium. Its description in RNAcentral is "Fluoride sequence". It matches the Rfam family "Fluoride riboswitch aptamer (crcB RNA motif)". The record is from RNAcentral. Lineage: Bacteria; Pseudomonadati; Myxococcota; Myxococcia.
GAUUGAUGUGGCGAUGGAGUCCGCCGGAACCGCCUUCUUGGCUGAUGGCUCCUAUCAAANN